GUGGGGAAUAUUGCACAAUGGGGGAAACCCUGAUGCAGCGACGCCGCGUGGGUGAAGAAGUAAUUCGUUACGUAAAGCCCUAUCAGCAGGGAAGAAAAUGACGGUACCUGAGUAAGAAGCCCCGGCUAACUACGUGCCAGCAGCCGCGGUAAUACGUAGGGGGCAAGCGUUAUCCGGAUUUACUGGGUGUAAAGGGAGCGUAGACGGAGCGCCAAGUCUGGAGUGAAAUGCCGCGGCUUAACCGCGGAACUGCUUUGGAAACUGGCGCGCUUGAGUGCGGGAGGGGUAAGCGGAAUUCCUAGUGUAGCGGUGAAAUGCGUAGAUAUUAGGAGGAACACCGGUGGCGAAGGCGGCUUACUGGACCGUAACUGACGUUGAGGCUCGAAAGCGUGGGGAGCAAACAGGAUUAGAUACCCUAGUAGUCC
Molecule: ribosomal RNA, 425 nt
Filed under: uncultured bacterium
Lineage: Bacteria
Description: bacterial SSU rRNA
Rfam family: Bacterial small subunit ribosomal RNA
Source: RNAcentral